This 85-nucleotide transfer RNA is filed under the name Felis catus (domestic cat). It matches the Rfam family "tRNA". From Rfam's summary of the family: Transfer RNA (tRNA) molecules are approximately 80 nucleotides in length. Their secondary structure includes four short double-helical elements and three loops (D, anti-codon, and T loops). Further hydrogen bonds mediate the characteristic L-shaped molecular structure. tRNAs have two regions of fundamental functional importance: the anti-codon, which is responsible for specific mRNA codon recognition, and the 3' end, to which the tRNAs corresponding amino acid is attached (by aminoacyl-tRNA synthetases). tRNAs cope with the degeneracy of the genetic code in two manners: having more than one tRNA (with a specific anti-codon) for a particular amino acid; and 'wobble' base-pairing, i.e. permitting non-standard base-pairing at the 3rd anti-codon position. The record is from Rfam by way of RNAcentral. Lineage: Eukaryota; Metazoa; Chordata; Mammalia; Carnivora; Felidae.
GCCUGGGUGGCUCAGUCAGUUAAGCGUCUGACUUUGGCUCAGGUCAUGAUCUCACAGUUCGUGAGUUCGAGCCCCACAUCAGGCU